GUCAUAUGUGCUUAGCAUGGCAUAUAUUCAAAUUGAGAUGACAGAGAGAGGAAUAGCAUGACCCCUUCAUAAGAAUAACAUGCAAAGUGACAGAAAAUUACAUACUUUAA
This 110-nucleotide small nuclear RNA is filed under the name Notamacropus eugenii (tammar wallaby). The record is from RNAcentral. Lineage: Eukaryota; Metazoa; Chordata; Mammalia; Diprotodontia; Macropodidae.